UGGAAUAAAAUAAUGAAGAGUCUCUCUCUCUCUCUCUCUCUCUCCAUUCCAUUCCAUUCCCCUUUUUCCAUUCUCACACUCAGGCACACAACACAUCCAAACCCCAAACCCAACCCACAAAAUUGUAGGGUUUGUGUUUUUUCGGUUCCAUAAUGUCUCAGAAUGGGAAGCUCAUGCCCAAUCUCGACCAGCACAGCACCAAGCUCCUCAACCUCACUGUUCUUCAGCGCAUCAACCCCUUCGUCGAGGAAAUCCUCAUCACCACUGCACACGUCACCUUCUAUGAGCUCAACAUUGACCUCUCCCAAUGGAGCCACAAGGACGUCGAAGGAUCCCUCUUUGUUGUCAAAAGGAACACGCAACCGCGAUUUCAGCUUAUUGUGAUGAACCGUCGCCAUACUGGUUUGAUCCUUAAUGCAUAUGCUGAGGUGCCUCCAAAGUCAAAGGUGUCUUCUAUAAAGAGUGGAUCUCCUCGAGAUGACAAAGAUCAGAUUCGUGAUUCUGCUCCUGAAAUUCGUGAUGUAUUUGAGGAUUUUGAUGAUGAUGAAGAGGAGGAUGGAUAUGCAGUUCAUCAUGACAUUGAACAUGACUCAAAUAGAUCCCCUAUUGACGAAGAGGGCUAUGAAAAAGGCCUGAGGCUAGAGGAUAUACUUGCAGAUGAAGAUCAUAGGUAUGGGUCAGAAGAGAAAAAUUAUGAGAUAAAAAAUAAAGAGAAACCACUUGGGCCACCAUUGGAGUUAGAGGUUCCGCUGCAACCACCUCCAGCUCUUCCAGAAAAGGUCUGGCGUAAUUUAUGUGGAAGCCUGUGGUUUAUAUAUUAAUUUGAAUUUAACUUUGACUUUGGGUGGCUGGAUAAGAGUUCUUAUUCUUCUUUUGGCAUAUGAUGCCUUUAUGAUUUUUGGUGCAAUAUUUAAGGAGCCAAAGUGAAAAGUAUGCAGUUUAAAAUGAUAGAAGUAGUUGUAUUCUUAAAAAAGUUCCUUUAUGAUCACUUUCUGAUGACAUAUUUGGGCAAAAGGCAGCUUAUAUGAGGGCUUAAUACGCUCAGGGAAGUGAACAUCUUUGGUGAUACAUGUUCGGUUGAGAUCUUAACCAUCGCUGUCCUCGUGAAGGUAUUCUGCUGAUCUCUUUGUUUGCCUGGUCAUGUAUGUUUAAAGUCGGUGAUUUAGGGUCUCUUUUGUGGGUUGGUGGUCUUUGAUUUGGGGUUUGACCAAGGAGGGUUCAGCUGUAACUCUCUGUCGGCAUCCCUCUCUCUCUCUCUCUGGGAGCCAUCUUCUAUUGCAUUCUUUGCUCAAAUUGGUCUUGACUAUGUCUCAUACUCUCCUUUUAGGUUAGAUUUUUAGCUUAAAUAUAAGUUAGAGUUUUACGUUCAACUAUUAAACUCAAAUUUGAAGACUCUUACAGGGUUCUAAUUGAAAGGCUUGCAUAUACCUCAAGUUGUAGUUUAAAAAAUUUGUUAAUCUGGUGUAAGAGGGAUGAAUGACUAGCUUCUGGUUCUUUUACUGCUCUGUUGUUACAGCUCCUUUUAGCCCUUAACUGCUUUGUUACAUUCUAGCUUUCAGUCUUUUCUGUUUUAUGGGAGCAUUUGUUGUGGAGCUUCUGUUCACUAUGUUUUUUGUAUUUUUUUAAGUGCUUCUAUUACUUUAUGGUUUUUGUUACAAAUUGAUGCUGAAAGCUUGCAAAGAAUUUGGCCUAAUUUUACUAUAUUCAAGUAUUGUUAGUUAGGUUGGAUCAGAUAAUUAGUGAUAUUCUGGAUUCUAUUUUCUCAAAUAAUAUUCUGGCUUUAUUUACAAAAUGCAAAUUUAAAUUUGUCUUUAUUAACAAACUUACAGUGAUUUCUUUUUAUUUGGUCAAUUUAGAUUUCAACUCCAAAUCUGAUAACUUAUUCUUCAUUCACAUGUGUCUAUAUUUUGGGUUGUUGUCUACGCUGCUAUGAGUUUCAAUUUAGAUCUUUCUUUGUGGUUUCUAAUUGAAAUGAUUGGUUGUAUUCUUGGUCUAAUAUAAGACAAGGUUAUCAACACUCAUAGGUAGGAAGCUUAUUGGGAGGCUCCUCAAAAUCUUUUCUUACCAUGGUACACUCUAAACACAACAACAAUAUAAGAAAACAGAAGAAAAAGUAUUCGUACCCCAUUUCUUUUUUCCCCACCUUUCUUAUGUAUGUGUCCUAUUAUGUUGUCUAAGUUGUGUGUUCUCACUGUGGGUAUAAGUAUUUUGAUAUUAUCCCUUAAGAGUUCAUUUAUUUUACAUAUCUUGGAGAUUUGUUAAGUUUAGAUUUAUAUAUUUGAUCAUUUUUCUAGUAUAUCAAGUGACUUUUGCAAAUAAGUUAAGCUUAUCUUUUAUCAUACAAUCCUAAUCUUACCAUAACUUGAUCUAUUAUCGUGUUUUGCAGUUGCUCAAUGUUCCAAAACCUGCUAUUCUUGACAUUCCUGUUUAUGUAUUGGGGGGUAGAUAUUAGAAUUAUAUAUUAUUAUACAGAUUGCCUAAAGACUAGGUGAUACCAUUAUGAAAACAAGUUUGUUAGGUACUCAUAAAGAUUUUUUAUGCCUUUGAAUGAUUAAUUUUUAAAUUUUUAAUUUAGUCCGAAGAAAAAUACUACAAAAGUAUUAUCUUAUUCUUUUACAUGUCAUCAGAUAGGUAUAUCCAUGAUAAGGAAGGAAGUUGAGAACGAUGAGUCUGUAAAAGUAAUUCGUUUCCGUUGUUGUUUCCAUAUAUAUUUUUUUAACUCAAAACAAAUAAACAAAGGCCAUGCUUUUAUAUCAGCUAGAUUUGAUUUGAAGAAAAGGAUUUAGGUUUGGAAAUAUUUGAAAAUUUUCUGCGGUCAAUUAUUUGAGCUGGAACCAACAUACAGACUUAAGAAAUUUUUGUUUAAAGGUUUUUGUUUUGAUUUUUUGCAGGAAUCUUCAUCUCUUAGAAAAAUACCAGUGGUAUCUUUUGGCCGUGAUCUUCAACUUCUUGCACAUUGACACUAUUAGGAUUUCAUUAUUAGAAAUUCAGAAAACGGGUAAAAUUAUAAAGAACUUUAUUCAUAUUUUUAGAGUUUUAAAAAUAUACUAACAUGUUACCAAUAAUAUGUUAUUCAUAAGAAAUCUUAUUUGAAUGGUUUCUACUCAUUACAAUAUUGUGCAGUUAGUUGGAGAUGAUCUCUUAAUGUCUAAUGCAAAACGCAUUGAGAGAGCAGUACUAGAGUAUGCAUGUAAUGCUCUUUUUCUUAAGGUAAGUGAUUUAAAUGGACUUUGAUGGGGUUCCUUUGUUUAGUUCAAAAUUGUUCUCACUUUUUCUUCAUAAAAUUAAUCAUAUUUCGUUAAUAGAGAUGUUUGGAUAUCCAGAGUUUGAAAAAUGUUGCUUGUUUAUGCAAUACAUUAGAAAAUAGAGUUUACAAGUUUUUUAUCCAUAUUAAAAAAUUGUUGCAUGAGCUAUUUUUGAUAAAAAAAAUUUUAAUUACUAUUUUGCUAUUUUUUAUUGCUGUUUUUCCUCUCCCAUGGAUUUCUAUCAUUCAAUGAACUUGAAAAAUAUAUAUUCCAUAAUUUAAAAGAAUUGAUAAGAACUAGAUGAACAUGGAGCAGUUUACUUUUUGUUUGCGGCUUAACCAUAUGAUGCUUUGAUGAGAUGGUUUCAUUGUGAUUUUAGAGCUUGUAUAUUGAAAACUUUUAAUUAAUAUGCAUGCUCAGGAGAAAUCGCUCGAACUGUUGUCGGCAUCUUAGGUCUCUCUCACGUACUCUAAUUAAUUAGUUACUUCAAUUGUAUCUACUAUAUCAUCAUUGAUCUUAAUUACUUUCUUUUGUCUUGCUCAGGAAACAUAAUUUCUGCCUUCCUAUUCUUGUCCCCAGUUAGGCAGCAUGAUUCGUUUAGAGAUGAGUGAAUAAAUGCAGCGGCAUACGGGGAGCAAAUUGAUAGGAUUGCCAACUUACUUAUUCUCAGCUCUUAGCUUGGAAAAAAAAGGCUUUUUGGACAAGUUAAGUUAUACUGCUACUUGUUUAUUUUUAUAUGAAAUUUAAGGCAUUAAAUAUUUAUAUUUGGGUGUUUCGUGUGCUAUUUGGUGAUGUUUGUGUGUUGUCAAGUUUGCUGGGACUAAGAAAGGAAUGAGUGUCUUCAAAGGCAAUGGGAAAGAUGGGAAGUGAAAAGGUGUCAAAAGACCCUAAUAAACUAAAGAGGCAACUGAGUGGUUUCUUCUUUUAGUACGAAAGGGAGUAUGUGGUUGGUCUUAAACAAUGCUCUGUUGAAGAAAGAGGAGCAUCUUCUCUUGGAAGAGGUUGAGAAGAUCCUUGAUGCUGGAAUUUGAUGAGUCUCAUGGUUCUGGAGAUGAGUUUGCAUGUUAAAUGAGAUGGUUGUCCAUGCCAGUUAACUAGAGCUACUAAUUAGGACUAAUAGGGCAUUAGAUAUUUUGGUUGCAUUCAUGUAAACAUUUCAUAUUUUGGGUUGUGAUGUAGGAGAUGUGUGGAUUAAGAUGUUUUCAUCUUCUGUAUGGAAUGCUUUGUGCAUUUUUAUUGGGCUUAUUUCUCAUGUAAUUGAUUAAGUGUUAGGGUGUGGAGUGUGGACACAAUAUCAUUAGUUGCUAGACAAAUUAAUUGUGCAGUCCUUUAUAUUUGUAGUUCAGUUAUUUCUUUGAAAUUCAAUAAAGUGAAGUAGCUUCUUUAUGAUGUUAAAA
Molecule: RNA transcript, 4642 nt
Organism: Arachis stenosperma
Lineage: Eukaryota; Viridiplantae; Streptophyta; Magnoliopsida; Fabales; Fabaceae
Exons: 10
Source: RefSeq, a predicted model, not a curated record